GCCUACGGGGGGCAGCAGUGAGGAAUAUUGGUCAAUGGUCGGGAGACUGAACCAGCCAAGCCGCGUGAGGGAUGAAGGUACAGAGUAUCGUAAACCUCUUUUGUCAGGGAACAAAGGCGGGGACGUGUCCCCGGAUGAGUGUACCUGAAGAAAAAGCAUCGGCUAACUCCGUGCCAGCAGCCGCGGUAAUACGGAGGAUGCGAGCGUUAUCCGGAUUUAUUGGGUUUAAAGGGUGCGCAGGCGGUCUGUUAAGUCAGCGGUCAAAGCCCGGGGCUCAACCCGGCCCGCCGUUGAAAACGGCAGUC
RNAcentral lists this ribosomal RNA (305 nucleotides) under uncultured bacterium. RNAcentral describes it as "bacterial SSU rRNA". It matches the Rfam family "Bacterial small subunit ribosomal RNA", at positions 337 to 641 of the family's 1533-position model. The record is from RNAcentral.